RNAcentral lists this ribosomal RNA (738 nucleotides) under uncultured archaeon. RNAcentral describes it as "bacterial SSU rRNA". It matches the Rfam family "Archaeal small subunit ribosomal RNA", at positions 117 to 853 of the family's 1478-position model. The record is from RNAcentral.
GGGUCCGGCAUAACCCCGGGAAACUGGGGAUAAUUCCGGAUAACGCACAUAUGCUGGAAUGCUUUAUGCGUAAAAUGGAUUCGUCUGCCCAAGGAUGGAUCUGCGGCCUAUCAGGUAGUAGUGGGUGUAAUGUACCUACUAGCCAACAACGGGUACGGGUUGUGAGAGCAAGAGCCCGGAGAUGGAUUCUGAGACAUGAAUCCAGGCCCUACGGGGCGCAGCAGGCGCGAAAACUUUACAAUGCGGGAAACCGUGAUGAGGGGACACCGAGUGCCAGCAUCAUAUGCUGGCUGUCCGGGUGUGUAAAAUACACCCGUUAGCAAGGGCCGGGCAAGACCGGUGCCAGCCGCCGCGGUAACACCGGCGGCCCGAGUGGUGAUCGUGAUUAUUGGGUCUAAAGGGUCCGUAGCCGGUUUGGUCAGUCCUCCGGGAAAUCUGACGGCUCAACCGUUAGGCUUUCGGGGGAUACUGCCAGGCUUGGAACCGGGAGAGGUAAGAGGUACUACAGGGGUAGGAGUGAAAUCUUGUAAUCCCUGUGAGACCACCUGUGGCGAAGGCGUCUUACCAGAACGGGUUCGACGGUGAGGGACGAAAGCUGGGGGCACGAACCGGAUUAGAUACCCGGGUAGUCCCAGCCGUAAACGAUGCUCGCUAGGUGUCAGGCAUGGCGCGACCGUGUCUGGUGCCGCAGGGAAGCCGUGAAGCGAGCCACCUGGGAAGUACGGCCGCAAGGCUGAA